Molecule: unclassified non-coding RNA, 237 nt
Filed under: Glomus sp.
Lineage: Eukaryota; Fungi; Glomeromycota; Glomeromycetes; Glomerales; Glomeraceae
Description: partial contains 5.8S ribosomal RNA and internal transcribed spacer 2
Rfam family: 5.8S ribosomal RNA (bases 1-65)
Source: RNAcentral
GUGAAUCAUCAAAUUUUUGAACGCAAAUUGCACUCUCUUCGGAGAGUAUGCCUGUUUGAGGGUCAGCCUAAAAAAAAAAUCGGCAUAGUCGCUGUUUCGCGGUGACAUUCGUCGGAAAUUGGGUCAUCUUAAACCUUUGGGUUUUAAUUGGCUUAAAAUUUUCUUUACGAUUCCACGAACGUUUCUAAGAUUUACUUUUUACGCUUUUAAGGUAAGCGAUCUUAAUGAAACAUGGCC